GACGAACGCUGGCGGCGUGCUUAACACAUGCAAGUCGAACGGAAAGGCCCUGCUUUUGUGGGGUGCUCGAGUGGCGAACGGGUGAGUAACACGUGAGUAACCUGCCCUUGACUUUGGGAUAACUUCAGGAAACUGGGGCUAAUACCGGAUAGGAGCUCCUGCUGCAUGGUGGGGGUUUGAAAGUUUCGGCGGUUGGGGAUGGACUCGCGGCUUAUCAGCUUGUUGGUGGGGUAGUGGCUUACCAAGGCUUUGACGGGUAGCCGGCCUGGGAGGGUGACCGGCCACAUUGGGACUGAGAUACGGCCCAGACUCCUACGGGAGGCAGCAGUGGGGAAUAUUGCACAAUGGGCGGAAGCCUGAUGCAGCAACGCCGCGUGCGGGAUGACGGCCUUCGGGUUGUAAACCGCUUUCGCCUGUGACGAAGCGUGAGUGACGGUAAUGGGUAAAGAAGCACCGGCUAACUACGUG
This 468-nucleotide ribosomal RNA is filed under the name uncultured bacterium. RNAcentral describes it as "partial 16S ribosomal RNA". It matches the Rfam family "Bacterial small subunit ribosomal RNA", at positions 28 to 507 of the family's 1533-position model. The record is from RNAcentral.